RNAcentral lists this ribosomal RNA (253 nucleotides) under uncultured bacterium. Its description in RNAcentral is "partial 16S ribosomal RNA". It matches the Rfam family "Bacterial small subunit ribosomal RNA", at positions 524 to 776 of the family's 1533-position model. The record is from RNAcentral.
UACAGAGGGGGCAAGCGUUGUUCGGAAUUACUGGGCGUAAAGGGCGCGUAGGUGGCCUUCUAAGUUGAACGUGAAAUCCCUGGGCUCAACCCUGGACCUGCAUUCGAUACGGGCGGACUAGAGUUCGGUAGGGGAGACUGGAAUUCCUGGUGUAGCGGUGAAAUGCGCAGAUAUCAGGAGGAACACCGGCGGCGAAGGCGGGUCUCUGGGCCGAUACUGACGCUGAGGAGCGAAAGCGUGGGGAGCGAACAGG